CCUACGGGUGGCUGCAGUGGGGAAUAUUGCACAAUGGGCGCAAGCCUGAUGCAGCCAUGCCGCGUGUGUGAAGAAGGCCUUCGGGUUGUAAAGCACUUUCAGCGGGGAGGAAGGCGUUAAGGUUAAUAACCUUGUCGAUUGACGUUACCCGCAGAAGAAGCACCGGCUAACUCCGUGCCAGCAGCCGCGGUAAUACGGAGGGUGCAAGCGUUAAUCGGAAUUACUGGGCGUAAAGCGCACGCAGGCGGUCUGUCAAGUCGGACGUGAAAUCCCCGGGCUCAACCUGGGAACUGCAUUCGAAACUGGCAGGCUAGAGUCUUGUAGAGGGGGGUAGAAUUCCAGGUGUAGCGGUGAAAUGCGUAGAGAUCUGGAGGAAUACCGGUGGCGAAGGCGGCCCCCUGGACAAAGACUGACGCUCAGGUGCGAAAGCGUGGGGAGCAAACAGGAUUAGAUACCCCGGUAGUC
RNAcentral lists this ribosomal RNA (465 nucleotides) under uncultured Klebsiella sp. Its description in RNAcentral is "bacterial SSU rRNA". It matches the Rfam family "Bacterial small subunit ribosomal RNA", at positions 338 to 795 of the family's 1533-position model. Lineage: Bacteria; Pseudomonadati; Pseudomonadota; Gammaproteobacteria; Enterobacterales; Enterobacteriaceae. The record is from RNAcentral.